Molecule: ribosomal RNA, 363 nt
Filed under: uncultured eukaryote
Lineage: Eukaryota
Description: SSU rRNA
Rfam family: Eukaryotic small subunit ribosomal RNA
Source: RNAcentral
AGCUCCAAAAGCGUAUAUUAAAGUUGUUGCAGUUAAAAAGCUCGUAGUUGAACCUUGGGCUUGGCUGGCCGGUCCAUCUUUUUUGAUGCGUACUGGACCCAGCCGAGCCUUUCCUUCUGGCUAGCCUUUUUGGCGAACCAGGACUUUUACUUUGAAAAAAUUAGAGUGUUCAAAGCAGGCCUUUGCUCGAAUAUAUUAGCAUGGAAUAAUAGAAUAGGACGUUAUGGUUCUAUUUUGUUGGUUUCUAGGACCAUCGUAAUGAUUAAUAGGGACGGUCGGGGGUAUCAGUAUUCAGUAGUCAGAGGUGAAAUUCUUGGAUUUACUGAAGACUAACUACUGCGAAAGCAUUUACCAAGGACGUUU